UUGGGUUGUGUUGUGGGCCCCGGAAAUAAUUGCUCAAUCCUGCAUAACACAACCCAAGGGUGCCAUUUCCGCUUUCAGACGGUUUCUGUCGUUUUUUCAACGUUACAUUGUUAGGUAUAUAUCGCUGAUUGGAAAUAUAUCGCUGGCUCGUUACUUUUGGGGGUGCUCGAUGGCUCAUUGAAAUCUUAUCCGCCAUUUUGAAAAGGACGAGGCACGUACGGAGGACAGUCAAGAUGAAGAUUAUAGCCUUUUGGGGAACGAAACACGGCCCAGCCUUUACGAUGCACUAGUUUAUGAGCGAAAAUUUAAGAGUGAAUAUUUGGAGAGACAAAUUUACGAGCGAUUACUUAUGAGUGAACCUGCCAUCUUGAAACUUAUCGAGAAUCAAAGCAAACACUUAUUUAAAGCUAACUGUAUAUCAUCUUAAAAAACGUGCUACAAGGCGAUCUGGACAUGCUCGUGAACCGAGUAGAAUUCCACUGCUAUUUCUAAGAGGUCUCAACAAGAAGAAUAGCAUGUUGAAGAAAUUUGUCUUGAAAAAGAUUUCAACGAUUGAGAUACUGAAGUCUUCAAAGCUCAAUCGCUAUGUUAAUAAGCAUUGUCAAAUGAAGAGUGAAAGAACAUUAUAAGAAAAUUGAAGUCUAACCAAAGAAAAAGAGAGAUCUACAAUAAAUACAAUGUCCACUACUUGCAAUUGGAGCCAGCAAAGAAAAAGCAAUGGUACAGUUUGAUGGAUAGAGUAAAAAUAGAAGAGCUUCUUGAAACUUGUGCUAAAAAAUAUAAAGAAAUUGAUGUGUCAAAAAAGAAACAAAUGCUUGAAAAUUGAAGAAAAAAGUAUAAAGAGAUAGAUGCCUCAAAAAAGAAACAAAUGCUUAACAGAAAAGCUUUAAAGUCUAGAAAGAAUUUUGACAGCAUGGACUGUGAAAAGAAAGAAAAAUACCUAAAUACUAUGAGAAAUCAAUCAGCAAUAGCUCAACAAAAUAG
Long non-coding RNA from Stylophora pistillata, 984 nucleotides. The record is from RefSeq and is a predicted model, not a curated record. Lineage: Eukaryota; Metazoa; Cnidaria; Anthozoa; Scleractinia; Pocilloporidae.